RNAcentral lists this ribosomal RNA (2898 nucleotides) under Colletotrichum sp. JS-367. RNAcentral describes it as "bacterial LSU rRNA". The stretch from base 876 to 2057 matches the Rfam family "Bacterial large subunit ribosomal RNA", at positions 566 to 2044 of the family's 2925-position model. Lineage: Eukaryota; Fungi; Ascomycota; Sordariomycetes; Glomerellales; Glomerellaceae. The record is from RNAcentral.
GUUAAGGUACUGCAAGAAAAGAUGUUGCAAAGCUUGCUAUUAAUUUUUUAAUAGCCGGACCUGGCGGCGACGCUAGUAAUCCGAGAGAUGAGUAAUGGAUUUCCAUUACCCAUGUUUGGUGGUAUGAGACAAACACUAGGCUGUCGGCCUUUUAAUUAUAAUAACAUCAAAAGUCACAAAAAAAAUUUUAUUAUUAAAUAACGGGUUAGUAGCUCCAAUAAAAAGCUACGGCAUUAUUAAAUAAAAAGACUAUAUUACAGGAUAACAAAGGUAAACCUGGUAUUUAUCGUAGAAUUAAUAAAUUAAAUAAUAAUGCUUAUGUAGGUAGUGGAUUAAAUUUAUCACAAAGAUUGAGUGAAUAUUACAAUCAAAGUGAAUUAAAAAGAAAUUCUAGGCCUAUUCAUGCUGCUUUACUUAAAUAUGGAUACGAAAAUUUUAUAAUAGAAAUUUUAGAAUAUUGCCGAGCAGAUGAGCUUAUUAAAAGAGAACAGUAUUACUUGGAUCUAUUAAAUCCUGAAUAUAAUGUAUUAAAAUAUGCUUAUUCGCUAUUAGGGUAUAAACAUACUCCUGAAAAUAUAGCGAAGUUUAAGUUAAAAAAAGUUUCACAGGAACUUAAGGAUAUAUUAUCUUCAGUGCACUUAGGAAAAGAAGUUAGUCAAGAAACUAGAGAUAAAUUAUCUCUUGCUACAUCUAACUAUAAAAAAAAUAACCCUCUUUCACCUGAAGCUUUAGCUAAUAUUACAGCUAAAACUACAGAACGUGAAGGAGUGGCUGUUACACUUUUAAAUACUCAAACUAACGAAGAAUUAGAAUUUCCUACUUUAACUAAAGUUGCGGAAUAUUUGGGUAUAAAAAGACAAGCUAUACGAAACGCAAUAAAUAGAGGAAGUCUUAUUAAAGGACUUUAUCGUGUUUCAUAAAAAAAGUAGGCAGUUUAUACACAUAAGUACUAAUUAUAAUAAUAAAAUAAAAUUACUUUAAUUUUUAAUCUAUAAGGUUAAAAGUCAGGUUUAUAUAACCUGUUGUCUAAAUGGAUAGCUCAUAAAGAUUUGUGGGCUAUUUAGGGAUAAGAUUUAAGCUUAUUAGUACAUAAGCUUAAAUUUCCGUGUAUGUCAAAAGGGAAACAGCCCAGAACAAGAGUUAAGGUUCCAAAAUUAUUAUUAAGUGAAAUUAAGAAGGUUUUUAUUUAAGUCGACAAGGAGAUAGGCUUGGAGGCAGCCAUAAUUUAAAGACCUCGUAACAGAGCGCUUGUUAAGUUUUAAAAGCAUCGAAAAUAUAACGGAUCUAAAUAAUAUACCGAUACCUUGUCCAUAAAUUAAGAUAAUUUAUUAUGUUAUUUAUGGGGUAGCAGAACGUUGGGUUUAUAUGAGAUUUUUCUUAUUUUUAAGAAAAUUAUAAUAUAACUCAAGUGAUAAUGGUGACAUGAGUAACUAAAAAGAGUUUAUACUCUCGCCUUAAGCUUAUGGCUAAGUAAAGUAACGGCCUCUAAGUUUUUUAACCUGAAGGUUAAAAUGAUGAGAAAAUCUUAAAUUAAAAAGACAACAUUUUUAAGUGAAAAGUGUGCAGGAAAUAUUUUUAAUAAGACAUAAAUAUGGACCAAUAAACUAAAAAGAUGAAGAAAAUAUAAGUGUCAACCGUACCUAUAAGCUGCAACAAGUAAGCUAGUAGAGGAUACGAAGGCGUAAAUGAGAUAACAAUCAUAAAGGAACUCGGCAAAAUAACUACCGUAACUUAGGGAUAAGGAGGGCUCAUUAUUCUUGAUUAAUAUCAAGUAAAAAGGAAGAAGCAUGAAAUAGUGUUGUACGACUGUUUAAUUAAAACAAAGCACUUUGCAAAAAGAUGAUAAAUCUAAGUAUUGAGUGUGAAAUCUGCCCGAUGUCGGCUGGUUAACGAAGAUAACUAAAUUUUUAAAGGUUUGGUGUUGCAGGAAACCCCGAUGAAUGGCGGCCUUAACGUGAGGGUCCUAAGGUAGCGAAAUGCCUUGGCCGUUAAAUGCGGUCUUGCAUGAAUGAUGUAACGAUACAACAGCUGUCUCUAUGAUUGACUCAGUGAAAUUGGAAUAACUGUGCAGAUACAGUUUACCUCUAGAUAGACGAGAGUGCGACUAGCUAAGUGCUUAAAAACAAUGUGGUGAAAACCCACCAGAUAACCCGUUAUCUGAGCUUAUGUGGCAUGCAUUAAGAGUAAUUUUUUUUGUGUGAAGCCCACAAAAUCCUGCCUUUUUUGAUAAAGGGAGGUGAGCUAUAUUACUAUGGAUAACUAAAGUGAAUCUGCGUCUGAAGCGUAGAUCUAGAGCUCUAUUUCUCUACAGUAGAAAAAUUUUAAAAAUAGAGUUUUGUUAAUUGUAUAAACAAGUUCUCGUUUGUUUAUUAAUGGGUCUAAUAUUAACCUACGUAUAGCAGGAUCCUAAAGUAAUAAUUAAGGUGUUUUUAAGUAAACUAGGUAAGCCCCAUAGUGCCCUUAUACAGCGUAUAAGGAAGUUUAACUGUGAAGUUAAAUAUACAUUAGGGGGUAAAGGAUGCUCUAAAAAGCGAAAGUUCUAUUGUAAUGAUAGAAAUAGGUUUAUUGACUAAUUCGAAAGAAUGCUGACUUAGAGUGGGUGUUUAUUAAACUAUAACGUAAAAUUGCAUUGAUUGGGUACCGGCUUUCUUAAGUGAUACGCAUUGUUUAAUGUAGCUAAGAAAGAGGCAUGGCUCCGUAGCUUUUUAAAGAUUAAGAAAAAAAAAACGGGAUAGAGAAAAGACACAUGACAAACCCAAAUAACAUUCAAAAUAUCAACGAAAAGUUGGAUCCUAUGUGAGUAACAGGGAUUGUAGACGCGGAAGGUAAUUUUAGCAUAUAUUACAACGAAAAAACGGAUAAAUUUAGUGCUAUUUUUAAAGUUACACAGAAAAGUAC